This 476-nucleotide ribosomal RNA is filed under the name uncultured bacterium. RNAcentral describes it as "partial 16S ribosomal RNA". It matches the Rfam family "Bacterial small subunit ribosomal RNA", at positions 30 to 507 of the family's 1533-position model. The record is from RNAcentral.
CGAACGCUGGCGGCGUGCUUAACACAUGCAAGUCGAACGUGAUUUUUGUGGAAAUUCUUUCGGGAAUGGAAAUGAAAUGACAGUGGCGAACGGGUGAGUAACACGUGAGCAACCUACCUUACACAGGGGGAUAGCCGUUGGAAACGACGAUUAAUACCGCAUGAGACCACAGAAUCGCAUGAUAUAGGGGUCAAAGAUUUAUCGGUGUAAGAAGGGCUCGCGUCUGAUUAGCUAGUUGGAAGGGUAAAGGCCUACCAAGGCGACGAUCAGUAGCCGGUCUGAGAGGAUGAACGGCCACAUUGGAACUGAGACACGGUCCAAACUCCCACGGGAGGCAGCAGUGGGGAAUAUUGCACAAUGGGGGGAACCCUGAUGCAGCGACGCCGCGUGAGCGAAGAAGGUUUUCGAAUCGUAAAGCUCUGUCCUAUGAGAAGAUAAUGACGGUAUCAUAGGAGGAAGCCCCGGCUAAAUACGUG